This 149-nucleotide non-coding RNA is filed under the name uncultured Ruminococcus sp. Its description in RNAcentral is "THF riboswitch". It matches the Rfam family "THF (Tetrahydrofolate) riboswitch aptamer". Rfam says of the family: THF riboswitch presents a pseudoknot that joins P1-P2 and the loop of P3 and two THF binding. The record is from RNAcentral. Lineage: Bacteria; Bacillati; Bacillota; Clostridia; Eubacteriales; Oscillospiraceae.
CAGAGUAAGAGAAUACGCGUUAAGUGUCUGCCGAACGGGGAGUUGACGGCAGGACGAAGGACAGGCGCGCCUGUGUUUAUUCUAUCAUACUAAGUCCAUGACAGAAAAGACGCUCGCGUCCCCGCGGUGUAUUCUUUGCAUCCCGCUGU